AUUGAACGCUGGCGGCAGGCCUAACACAUGCAAGUCGAACGAGUGGCGGACGUGUGAGUAAUGUCUGGGAAACUGCCCGAUGGAGGGGGAUAACUACUGGAAACGGUAGCUAAUACCGCAUACCAUCGGAUGUUCCCAGAUGGGAUUAGCUAGUAGGUGGGGUAACGCCUCACCUAGGCGACGAUCCCUAGCUGGUCUGAGAGGAUGCCCAGCCACACUGGAACGUGGACACGGUCCAGACUCCUACGGGACGCAGCAGUGGGGAAUAUUGCGCAAUGGGCGGAAGCCUGAUGCAGCCAUGGCGAGUGUAUGAAGAAGGCCUUCGGGUUGUAAAGUACUUUCAGCGAGGAGGCGUUACCCGCAGAAGAAGCACCGGCUAACUCCGUGCCAGCCGCCGCGGUAAUUC
This 406-nucleotide ribosomal RNA is filed under the name uncultured bacterium. RNAcentral describes it as "partial 16S ribosomal RNA". It matches the Rfam family "Bacterial small subunit ribosomal RNA", at positions 30 to 526 of the family's 1533-position model. The record is from RNAcentral.